GCAUUGGUCAUUCAGUGGUUGAAUUCUCACCUUCUAUGUAGGAGACUGGGGUUUGAUUCCCAGCCAAUGCA
This 71-nucleotide transfer RNA is filed under the name Loxodonta africana (African savanna elephant). It matches the Rfam family "tRNA". Rfam says of the family: Transfer RNA (tRNA) molecules are approximately 80 nucleotides in length. The record is from Rfam by way of RNAcentral. Lineage: Eukaryota; Metazoa; Chordata; Mammalia; Proboscidea; Elephantidae.